This 2434-nucleotide long non-coding RNA is filed under the name Nicotiana benthamiana. RNAcentral describes it as "long non-coding RNA (NBEN_LNC004362)". Lineage: Eukaryota; Viridiplantae; Streptophyta; Magnoliopsida; Solanales; Solanaceae. The record is from RNAcentral.
UUGAAAGGUGGUAUACUUAAAUGUAAUAAACCCAAACCUUAAACAUGAGUGGUUAUAAGGUUUGCUAUAUGGGAUGUAUAUGUAAAAAUCCCUAAUUCCAAUCGUAACUAAUCUCUUCUAACUUGGGCCCAAGGUGAGCCUAAUUUUUUAAAAUAAUGAGCACCUCAUCGACGUGCAAGGUCAGAUCUGAGUUUGAUCGUUCCCCAUCUGGGCCGGUGUGAAGCCCAGUUCUCAUGCUCCAAAUUGUCCAUACCAAAUUGUUCUCAUGCUCAACUGAUGCCAACAUGGAACAUGAAAUCAAGUUAGAAAAUUUAAACUCUUAUUUUAAAAUAUCAAACACCAACUACCUAUCUAGUUUUUUGAUUUUAAUUAUUCCAACAUAAAAUGACCAGAUUAACAUUUUGAAUGAGAAUUUCCAAAUCAAGCAAUCAUUUGAUCAUGAUGCUUGAAAUCAGUUUUAAAUUAGUUUCAGAACGAAUCUAAACCUUAAUUUCAAAAAUGAUCAUGCGUGUAAAACAGAAUCUGGGUAAAUUAAUAAAAACAUACAAGUUAGCACCUAGCAUUUUGACGAAUUCAAAUGGACAUCAAGGUUGAAACAGUACUGAUAUUCAGCAAAACUGCACAAAAGUCUAUAACUCAAAACAUCAAAUUGAACUUAUGAUGCCAAUGCCCUAACAACUCCUUUACUUUACACACUCAAACUCAUUUAAAAACUGAGUAACUAGAGUCCAUAGUCCACUACAAACAUAGAUUUACUUUAACUUUUGAGCACAGAUUCAUAACAUUUUACCCUCACACAGAUUCAGGGUAUGCGAGUAAUAAAAGAAACAGCCUAAGCUGACACUUGUAAUUUAAAACCUAACUACAGAACAUUGAAAGUAGUAGGAGAAACAGAAAAAAACUAAUUCAGUUUAAUUUUCUGUAGUCAACAUUUACUCGUUGUUCAUGGGCUAGAGAAAUACCCGGAGAGCAAAAUAACAGAAAAAUGAGAGACUAGCAGUAAGAAGAAUCAGUCAGCCCAGAUUCGAUCAAUGAACAGUGAAAUCAGCUCAUGAAAAUCAAUGAAAUAGUAGAGAAAGUCCAAAACCAACUCUUGAAAUCCCAAAUUGAAACUAUUUUUAACCAGAUGCCAUGACUUGAAAAUAACCUUUUGAAAUUUUUUUAAAACCAACACAAGAAAUCUAGAAGCUGAAAGUUAAUGUGAUUUAUUAAUUUCACAAAAAGGAUCCAGAACUUCAAGUGUUCUCACAGAAUUCACUCCAAAGUAUCCAGUCGUUUCCUUUUAGUCCUUUUCUAUCUCAGGUUUUUUCUGACUUGAAUAUCAAGUCAUGGUGCCUUUAUAGGCAAGGCAUUAGGGCUGCCUAAAAGAAAUCAAUUUUGUAUUUAGAACAUUUUGAUAUUUUUAUUUAUCUUAGGUACCAUUAGUUUAAAAAUAAAAAUUCAAAAUAGUCCCUACUCCAGCUUCCUAGAAGUUUCCUAAUUCAGUUUAAUGAAAUUCCCUAAGCUACACUACCCAAAAUACCCCUCAAACCCCUGAAAAGUACAUCAGAAUUCCAAAUGGGCCAAUUUAACCCAAUGACUUAAACCAAAAUGAACGGUCUGUACUUUGCAAAUGGUCAGAAACAACCUAAAUCCCAAAUAAUAAAUUAACCCAGCUAAAUUCUAUAGGCACUUGGAAAAACAGAAUAACACAAUCAUUGAAACGAUUUCUAUAAUCAAAAUCCUAAACUAAGUUACUGAUUAGACAGAAAUAUGCAGGGAAUUAACUCAGUUAUUAAAUCAAAACGACCUAAUAAAAUUAAACUAAUCGGCUAAACAAAGGAUGAAAUAAGAACUUUAAUAGAUCUCAUUAUCCAAACUUAAUGGACCAAGAAAAUCAAAGAACCGAAUUUGGGAAAAUAAAACUAACGAGGAACACAAGAACAUAACCUAUUCUCAACCAGAAGAUUAGUCGAGUUUCAGUUGAAUCGACCAGAGAAAAAGAAAGAGAGAUGAUAAGGAACAAAAAUUGAAAUAACAUCCAAUAUGAACAAAGAAAGGAAGAAGAACUUACCCAUCAAAGUUUGAACCCUGGCCUUGACAUUCCGAUUUCAUCCCCAAACAUUGCCAAUCACUUGUUCUUUGUCAAGAACAAGCGAACAACAUUAUUUCGUAACAAAACCAGCCCUAAAAACUCAUGAGAGGUAGAAUAAUAACCCUGCAUGUACAGGUCUGGAUUUGGGGCUUUUAGGGCACGAACCUUAGAUUUGAUAUUCAAAACAUUCUAGCAUAAUUCGAUGAAAAAGGAGUGAAAAUUUGGAAUGAGGGGGUUAUGAUGGUUAUGUGGUGUUAAUUUAGGGCCGUUUUGUGCUGGUGUCGCUACCAAAGAGGAGGGAAUUUUAGGGUGAUGCUAGGGUUUAGAGUUUGAGUCUCUGAGAGGGGGGGGGUGAGANNN